This 251-nucleotide ribosomal RNA is filed under the name uncultured prokaryote. RNAcentral describes it as "partial 16S rRNA". It matches the Rfam family "Bacterial small subunit ribosomal RNA", at positions 525 to 775 of the family's 1533-position model. The record is from RNAcentral.
ACGUAGGGAGCGAGCGUUGUCCGGAAUUACUGGGCGUAAAGGGUGCGUAGGCGGUUUGGCAAGUCAGAUGUGAAAUCCCCGGGCUUAACUCGGGUGGUGCAUUUGAAACUGCUGAACUUGAGUGCAGGAGAGGAAAGCGGAAUUCCUAGUGUAUCGGUGAAAUGCGUAGAUAUUAGGAGGAACACCUGUGGCGAAGGCGUCUUUCUGGACUGUAACUGACGCUGAGGCACGAAAGCGUGGGGAGCAAACAG